This is a long non-coding RNA of Hemicordylus capensis (graceful crag lizard), 1390 nucleotides long. RefSeq lists it as uncharacterized. The transcript is spliced from 2 exons. Lineage: Eukaryota; Metazoa; Chordata; Lepidosauria; Squamata; Cordylidae. The record is from RefSeq and is a predicted model, not a curated record.
GCGAAGCGGGCUCCAUCAGGCAUGACUGAUCUUGAGAUCUUUCGUCUGGUCUUCCAGGUGCUGGAUCUGCUCUUCCUGCUUCUUGUCUGGUAGGAGGACUUCCACUGUGUAGCUGAUCUUCUUGGCAUGGAGGUAGCUGUACGUGUUGUCAAAGCGCAGGACGUCUGCAAGGAGCAAAACAAAAACGGAGAAAGUCACAUCCUGAGCAGAGAUCAGGGCGGCCAUAUUUUGCCUUAGAGAAGACUGUCACUGAGCAUGUACAGAGGUCCUGUCCCAGGGAAGUGUCUGUGAGAUAUUUCAAGGACAAAAUUAUGCCAAGGAUGUUCAGAAUACCUCCCCCCGCUCCCGUUGUGAAUAGAAUUUUCCUUUACUACAAUCUCUUUGGACAGGAAUGGUGUCCCCCAUAGAUUCUGGUCUGCCUAGACAGAGUCUUAGAGUGAAAUGGGCGACAUCUACACAACUUGAAAGGAAAGGCUCAGGUUUUUGCCUUGGACUGUUCGGUUCUCCUUGGGACAGGAAGCUGUUUGGAUUUUCCAUCUCAAGUUUCCAGUCCUCUUGAGGAGUCUCCAAGUACCAAAGAAAUCCACCUAAAGAACAAACACUCUCGCUGGCGCAAGCCAAGUUUUGGAUUCUUGACUCCCUGCAACACAUCCCUCAUCAUUUCGGGACCUCCCACCUGCCAGAGUGAUUGCUCCUUGGGAAGCAGAGAAGAUCUCCGGGCCAGAGCGCCCAUUUGGAUAGAACCCUGUAUUCCUCCAGAUUCACCCUGGUCGCCUAGCAAAAGCAAAGAGUGGCUGAAAUGGCAACCGUGGCCUACGUACAGAUUCCAGCAUCGGCACAGGUGAGGGAGCCGUCUUCAGGCACCAUGUGGGUGUUGUAGCGCUGGUUUGGACACACUUCCGUCAUCUCCCCGGCGUGCUGACGCCCACCGACCUUGGUCUUCAGGAAGACCCCAAAGCCCACAUCACCACCUUCGGACAUGAACUGCCAGCUGCAGGGGAGGAGGAGGGUUGUGUGUGAACCCAAAUUCACUUUGUUGUAUAAAAGUAGUAGUUGUCGGUGGUGGUGGUGGGCAAGAAAAUAGAACAAGCUCUUUGGAACAAGAGGGGACACACUUAAGUUUAAACCUGAACUUUUUAUUGGCCUUCAGGAGAGCCCAUGAAACCUAUCUGUUUGGCCUGGCCUUCCAGGGUUUUUAAUGUUGUAAUCUGGUUUUUCCAGGGUUUUUAAACUGUUCUGUUUAAUCGUUGUUGUUUUAUGCUGUUUUAUAAUUUUUGUUUUAACUGUUGAUUGAUUUUAGUGGUUUUGUUUUAAUUGUAAACUGCCCUGAGCCAUUCUGGAAGGGCGGUAUAGAAAUUGAAUAAGUAAUAAAUACAAUAACAUGCCAUAA